GACGAACGCUGGCGGCGUGCUUAACACAUGCAAGUCGAACGGAAAGGCCCCCAUCUUGGUGGGGGUGCUCGAGUGGCGAACGGGUGAGUAACACGUGGGUGAUCUGCCCUGUACUUCGGGAUAAGCUUGGGAAACUGGGUCUAAUACCGGAUAGGACCAUGGUUUAGUGUCUCAUGGUGGAAAGAUUAUUGUUUUGGUGCAGGAUGAGCUCGCGGCCUGUCAGCUUGUUGGUGGGGUAAUGGCCUACCAAGGCGUCGACGGGUAGCCGGCCUGAGAGGGUGGACGGCCACAUUGGGACUGAGGUCCGGCCCAGCCUCCUACGGGAGGCAGCAGUGGGGAAUAUUGAACAAUGGGCGCAAGCCUGAUGCAGCGACGCCGCGUGGGGGAUGACGGCCUUCGGGUUGUAAACUCCUUUCGUUAGGGACGAAGCCGCACUUUUUUUGGGUGUGGUGACGGUACCUUUGUUAAGAAGCACCGGCUAACUACGUG
Molecule: ribosomal RNA, 489 nt
Filed under: uncultured bacterium
Lineage: Bacteria
Description: partial 16S ribosomal RNA
Rfam family: Bacterial small subunit ribosomal RNA
Source: RNAcentral